UUCAUGCCCCGGGUGACGUUUCUCCCCCUAACUCCGCCAGGUCCGGAAGGAAGCAACGGUAAAGGGGAGAGCGGGUGCCCGUGGGCUUACCUGU
RNAcentral lists this signal recognition particle RNA (94 nucleotides) under Enhygromyxa salina. RNAcentral describes it as "signal recognition particle sRNA small type". It matches the Rfam family "Bacterial small signal recognition particle RNA". Rfam says of the family: The signal recognition particle (SRP) is a universally conserved ribonucleoprotein involved in the co-translational targeting of proteins to membranes. Archaeal SRP consists of a 7S RNA and homologues of the eukaryotic SRP19 and SRP54 proteins. The record is from RNAcentral. Lineage: Bacteria; Pseudomonadati; Myxococcota; Nannocystales; Nannocystaceae.